CGGACGGGUGAGUAACGCGUGGGGAACCUGCCCUGUACCGGGGGAUAGCAGCCGGAAACGGCUGAUAAUACCGCAUAAGCGCACGAAUGUCGCAUGACAUGGUGUGAAAAACUCCGGUGGUAUAGGAUGGACCCGCGUCUGAUUAGCCGGUUGGUGGGGUAAAAGCCUACCAAAGCGAAGAUCAGUAGCCGAGUUGAGAUACUGACCGGCCACAUUGGGACUGAGACACGGCCCAGACUCCUACGGGAGGCAGCAGCA
Molecule: ribosomal RNA, 258 nt
Filed under: uncultured bacterium
Lineage: Bacteria
Description: partial 16S ribosomal RNA
Rfam family: Bacterial small subunit ribosomal RNA
Source: RNAcentral